GAUGAACGCUGGCGGCGUGCCUAAUACAUGCAAGUCGAGCGGACGGACGAGAAGCUUGCUUCUCUGAUGUUAGCGGCGGACGGGUGAGUAACACGUGGAUCACCUACCUAUAAGACUGGGAUAACUUCGGGAAACCGGAGCUAAUACCGGAUAAUAUUUUGAACCGCAUGGUUCAAAGGUGAAAGACGGUCUUGCUGUCACUUAUAGAUGGAUCCGCGCUGCAUUAGCUAGUUGGUAAGGUAACGGCUUACCAAGGCAACGAUGCAUAGCCGACCUGAGAGGGUGAUAGGCCACAUGGGAGCUGAGACACGGUCCAGACUCCUACGGGAGGCAGCAGUAGGGAAUCUUCCGCAAUGGGCGAAAGCCUGACGGAGCAACGCCGCGUGAGUGAUGAAGGUCUUCGGAUCGUAAAACUCUGUUAUUAGGGAAGAACAUAUGUGUAAGUAACUGUGCACAUCUUGACGGUACCUAAUCAGAAAGCCACGGCUAACUACGUG
This 497-nucleotide ribosomal RNA is filed under the name uncultured bacterium. Its description in RNAcentral is "partial 16S ribosomal RNA". It matches the Rfam family "Bacterial small subunit ribosomal RNA", at positions 28 to 507 of the family's 1533-position model. The record is from RNAcentral.